Molecule: transfer-messenger RNA, 394 nt
Filed under: Anaerolineae bacterium
Lineage: Bacteria; Bacillati; Chloroflexota; Anaerolineae
Description: partial transfer-messenger RNA
Rfam family: transfer-messenger RNA
About the family: Bacterial tmRNA, also known as 10Sa RNA or SsrA, is named for its dual tRNA and mRNA-like properties. Its role is to liberate the mRNA from a stalled ribosome.
Source: RNAcentral
GGGGAUGACAGGCUUCGACAGGGAAGGCUGGUCACGGAUUGCAAGCCGAGGUGCCCUACCCUCGCUAAACCGGGGCAAAACUACAGACGCCAAAGCAAGAACAAAUCUUGCGGCGCUCCCGAUGGCUGCCUAGGCAGCGUCGGAUCGCUCUAGCCGCCCAGAGCGGCUACGUCUGCCCAGGCUCUCCUCCGAUGGGCCUGGAGCAGGCGUCAUGGAAAUCGGAGUGCGGCUCUCCCGACGGCGAUAAGGAGGGCUAAAGCCGGGGCUUCGGUCCCGGAUCACCUGGCCUGCUUCGCACUCCGUCGGUCGAGGGUGAGGCGGGUGAGAAACAAAAGGCCGACUAAGCUUGUAGCAUAUCCGUGGUCGAAUUCUCUGGACGCGGGUUCGAUUCCCG